UUUCUCUCGGUCUGAUCUUGUGAAGCAUCUGGUUUGCAGAGAGACUUGGUUCACUUGCGUUGCGGAGAUUCCUGAGUGGUUUCGCUUGGCCUCGACCGAUCGGCCUUUUCUCCUCUUCGUUUGGGGAUGUCUCUGUGGAUUCUUUUUACCUUGGAGCGAGCUGCUUGUCCGAGGAUGUUGUCUAAGGGCGAUGAAUGGGGAGAGACAGGUCAGUUUUUUGUUCCAUAAAACAGAGCGUUUGGGCUUUUUUGGAGGACUGAGGAUCUUGUUUUGCUGUCUUUUCUUGGUAGAGAUGAUGAACUCGCGUCUUUUGAUAACCUUCUGGGUAUUUAUUGGUUUUGAUUGAAAUUUGGUCUCCGGCCUUUUAUCUUUGGCAGAUGAUCAUGGGUCUAGUUCCAAUUCUUUUACAUGUUGCGAUUUUGCGGGGCUUGAGAAGUGGUGAUCUGUUGCGUUAUCUUUGCGAUUUCGAGUUGAUGAUCUUUGACAAUUGGAUAAGCUACCGCUUUUCAAGGCAGCUAAUGGUUUGAAUGGAGUUUGUGUCUCCAGUCUUGUUAUUUUCCGAUUGGUGCGAAAACCAAUUCUCUUUCUUUCCGAGGUCAGAGUUUGGCCGAUGUGUGAACUGUCAUGGUUCUUUCCAUGCAACGUGUACGCUCACUUCAGAUCAUUGCUAUUGAAAAUCUAAAGCCGGGUGUCCUUCCUAGAAA
Syzygium oleosum is the source of this 704-nucleotide long non-coding RNA. RefSeq lists it as uncharacterized. The transcript is spliced from 2 exons. NCBI's taxonomy places the organism in Eukaryota, Viridiplantae, Streptophyta, Magnoliopsida, Myrtales, Myrtaceae. The record is from RefSeq and is a predicted model, not a curated record.